Molecule: ribosomal RNA, 497 nt
Filed under: uncultured bacterium
Lineage: Bacteria
Description: partial 16S ribosomal RNA
Rfam family: Bacterial small subunit ribosomal RNA
Source: RNAcentral
GAUGAACGCUGGCGGCGUGCCUAAUACAUGCAAGUCGAGCGAACGGACGAGAAGCUUGCUUCUCUGAUGUUAGCGGCGGACGGGUGAGUAACACGUGGAUACCCUACCUAUAGGACUGGGAUAACUUCGGGAAACCGGAGCUAAUACCGGAUAAUAUUUUGAACCGCAUGGUUCAAAAGUGAAAGACGGUCUUGCUGUCACUUAUAGAUGGAUCCGCGCUGCAUUAGCUAGUUGGUAAGGUAACGGCUUACCAAGGCAACGAUGCAUAGCCGACCUGAGAGGGUGAUCGGCCACACUGGAACUGAGACACGGUCCAGACUCCUACGGGAGGCAGCAGUAGGGAAUCUUCCGCAAUGGGCGAAAGCCUGACGGAGCAACGCCGCGUGAGUGAUGAAGGUCUUCGGAUCGUAAAACUCUGUUAUUAGGGAAGAACAUAUGUGUAAGUAACUGUGCACAUCUUGACGGUACCUAAUCAGAAAGCCACGGCUAACUACGUG